GAAAUGCGAUAAGUAAUGUGAAUUGCAGAAUUCAGAGAAUCAUCGAAUCUUUGAACGCACCUUGUGCUCCUUGGUAUUCCUUGGAGCAUGCCUGUUUGAGUAUCAUGAAAUCUUCAAAGUAAAUCUUUUGUUAACUCAAUUGGUUUCUACUUUGGUAUUGGAGGUCUUUGCAGCUUCACACCUGCUCCUCUUUGUUCAUUAGCUGGAUCUCAGUGUUAUGCUUGGUUCCACUCGGCGUGAUAAGUUAUCUAUCGCUGAGGACACUGUAAAAGGUGGCCAAGGUAAAUGCAGAUGAACCGCUUCUAAUAGUCCAUUGACUUGGACAAUACUUUUAUGAUCUGAUCUCAAAUCAGGUAGGACUACCCGCUGAACUUAAGC
RNAcentral lists this unclassified non-coding RNA (378 nucleotides) under plant metagenome. RNAcentral describes it as "partial contains 5.8S ribosomal RNA, internal transcribed spacer 2, and large subunit ribosomal RNA". The stretch from base 1 to 105 matches the Rfam family "5.8S ribosomal RNA", at positions 50 to 154 of the family's 154-position model. The record is from RNAcentral.